CCUACGGGAGGCAGCAGUGGGGAAUAUUGGUCAAUGGGCGCAAGUCUGACCCAGCAACGCCGCGUGAAGGAAGAAGGCUUUCGGGUUGUAAACCUCUUUUAUCAGGGACGAAGCAAGUGACUGUACCUGCUGAAUAAGCCACGGCUAACUACAUGCCAGCAGCCGCGGUACUACGUAGGUGGCAAGCGUUAUCCGGAUUUCCUGGGUGUAAAGGUCGUGUAGGCGGGAGUGCAAGUCAGAUGUGAAAACUCUGGGCUAAACCCAUCGCGUGAAUUUGAAAUUGUACUUCUUGGGUGCUGAGGAGGGAAUCGGAAGUCCGGGUGUAGCGGGGAAAGGGGGAG
RNAcentral lists this ribosomal RNA (341 nucleotides) under uncultured bacterium. RNAcentral describes it as "partial 16S ribosomal RNA". It matches the Rfam family "Bacterial small subunit ribosomal RNA", at positions 338 to 693 of the family's 1533-position model. The record is from RNAcentral.